This 323-nucleotide unclassified non-coding RNA is filed under the name Hevea brasiliensis (rubber tree). Lineage: Eukaryota; Viridiplantae; Streptophyta; Magnoliopsida; Malpighiales; Euphorbiaceae. The record is from RNAcentral.
GGUUUAUGCAUUGUCAUUUGGAGCUCCACACUGGCUGGGGACUGAAAACAGCAUUUGUGGUGGAAGAUGGACCUGGGCCUGAUCAAUCCAUUCUGCCUCCACCUAAGGAUCUUCCGGCUUGUUAGCUACUUAGAAUCUUAUUCAACAAGGCAAUUGUAUAUUUUAAAUAUUUUCUUUGUUAAACGUUAGAACCAUACUAAUGCAUGCUUCCUUCAAAAGUUGGAGGAGGUUCCUUGAGAGAUUGGAUGGUUUGUUUGAGACCCAAACUGUAAUAAGCUACAGCAAAUGUAAUAUAAAAAUUAAUACAUAUGUUUGGAAAUUUG